This 225-nucleotide ribosomal RNA is filed under the name uncultured bacterium. RNAcentral describes it as "partial 16S ribosomal RNA". It matches the Rfam family "Bacterial small subunit ribosomal RNA", at positions 30 to 250 of the family's 1533-position model. The record is from RNAcentral.
AUUGAACGCUGGCGGCAUGCCUUACACAUGCAAGUCGAACGGCAGCACGGGGGCAACCCUGGUGGCGAGUGGCGAACGGGUGAGUAAUGCAUCGGAACGUGCCCAGUAGUGGGGGAGUAACUAGUCGAAAGAUUAGCUAAUACCGCAUACGACCUAUGGGUGAAAGCGGGGGAGUUCGCAAGAAACCUCGCGCUAUCGGAGCGGCCGAUGUCUGAUUAGCUAGUU